RNAcentral lists this ribosomal RNA (460 nucleotides) under uncultured bacterium. Its description in RNAcentral is "partial 16S ribosomal RNA". It matches the Rfam family "Bacterial small subunit ribosomal RNA", at positions 338 to 795 of the family's 1533-position model. The record is from RNAcentral.
CCUACGGGAGGCAGCAGUGAGGAAUAUUGGUCAAUGGACGAGAGUCUGAACCAGCCAAGUAGCGUGAAGGAUGACUGCCCUAUGGGUUGUAAACUUCUUUUAUAAAGGAAUAAAACGAGGCACGUGUGCCUUUUUGCAUGUACUUUAUGAAUAAGGAUCGGCUAACUCCGUGCCAGCAGCCGCGGUAAUACGGAGGAUCCGAGCGUUAUACGGAUUGAUUGGGUUUAAAGGGAGCGUAGAUGGGUUGUUAAGUCAGUUGUGAAAGUUUGCGGCUCAACCGUAAAAUUGCAAUUGAUACUGGCAGUCUUGAGUACAGUUGAGGUAGGCGGAAUUCGUGGUGUAGCGGUGAAAUGCGUAGAUAUCACGAAGAACCCCGAUUGCGAAGGCAGCUUACUAACCUGUGACUGACAUUGAUGCUCGAAAGUGUGGGUAUCAAACAGGAUUAGAUACCCGGGUAGUC